RNAcentral lists this ribosomal RNA (430 nucleotides) under uncultured bacterium. Its description in RNAcentral is "partial 16S ribosomal RNA". It matches the Rfam family "Bacterial small subunit ribosomal RNA", at positions 29 to 506 of the family's 1533-position model. The record is from RNAcentral.
AACGAACGCUGGCGGCAGGCUUAACACAUGCAAGUCGAGCGCCCCGCCAGGGGAGCGGCAGACGGGUGAGUACCGCGUGGGAACGUACCCUUAUCUACGGGAUAGCUCCGGGAAACUGGAAUUAAUACCGAAUGUGCCCUUUGGGGGAACGAUUUAUCGGAUAAGGAUCGGCCCGCGUGGGAUUAGCAAGUUGGGGGGGUAAAGGACUUCCAAGGCGACGAUCCAUAGCUGGUCUGAGAGGAUGAUCAGCCCCAUUGGGACUGAGACACGGCCCCAACUCCUGCGGGAGGCAGCAGUGGGGAUUAUGGGACACUGGGCGCAAGCCUGAUCCCGCCAUGCCGCGUGAGUGAUGAAGGCCUUAGGGUUGUAAAGCUCUUUCACCGGAGAUGAUAAUGCCGGUAUCCGGAGAAGAAGCCCCGGCUACCUUCGU